Molecule: unclassified non-coding RNA, 338 nt
Filed under: Hevea brasiliensis (rubber tree)
Lineage: Eukaryota; Viridiplantae; Streptophyta; Magnoliopsida; Malpighiales; Euphorbiaceae
Source: RNAcentral
CCAAAAUUUUUCUAUAAUGAGCUGUGAUAAUUUAUGAAAUGUAUUUGUGCAGCAUUUAAAUUGUGUUAUUGAUGGGUAAAACUGUAUUAUUCAGUUAUUUGAUCAAAUUGUGAUAUUGAUCGGCAACACUGUGUUAUUCAGUAAUUUGAUCAAAUUGUGUAUGAAUUGGCAAUACGGUAUUCUUAAACUAUUUGACUAAAUUGUGUUAUUAUGAAUUUUGAUAAUUUGUGAAUGGGAGUUUAAAUUCCUUAUGACAUUCAUUGUCUUGAAUUUAACUAUGGUUUUACGUAUCCACUAUUUAUAUGGUUUAUGAGUUGUGAUUUAAAGUUGUAUUUGGU